RNAcentral lists this non-coding RNA (26 nucleotides) under Rattus norvegicus (Norway rat). The record is from RNAcentral. Lineage: Eukaryota; Metazoa; Chordata; Mammalia; Rodentia; Muridae.
CAGGUACAAUAACGCAUGCCUGUAAU